RNAcentral lists this non-coding RNA (24 nucleotides) under Arabidopsis thaliana (thale cress). Lineage: Eukaryota; Viridiplantae; Streptophyta; Magnoliopsida; Brassicales; Brassicaceae. The record is from RNAcentral.
GAUUCGCUAAUUCAUCUGCGAGAC